RNAcentral lists this ribosomal RNA (497 nucleotides) under uncultured bacterium. RNAcentral's name for it is "partial 16S ribosomal RNA". It matches the Rfam family "Bacterial small subunit ribosomal RNA", at positions 28 to 507 of the family's 1533-position model. The record is from RNAcentral.
GAUGAACGCUGGCGGCGUGCCUAAUACAUGCAAGUCGAGCGAACGGACGAGAAGCUUGCUUUUCUGAUGCUAGCGGCGGACGGGUGAGUAACACGUGGAUAACCUACCUAUAAGACUGGGAUAACUUCGGGAAACCGGAGCUAAUACCGGAUAAUAUUUUGAACCGCAUGGUUCAAAAGUGAAAGACGGUCUUGCUGUCACUUAUAGAUGGAUCCGCGCUGCAUUAGCUAGUUGGUAAGGUAACGGCUUACCAAGGCAACGAUGCAUAGCCGACCUGAGAGGGUGAUCGGCCACACUGGAACUGAGACACGGUCCAGACUCCUACGGGAGGCAGCAGUAGGGAAUCUUACGCAAUGGGCGAAAGCCUGACGGAGCAACGCCGCGUGAGUGAUGAAGGUCUUCGGAUCGUAAAACUCUGUUAUUAGGGAAGAACAUAUGUGUAAGUAACUGUGCACAUCUUGACGGUACCUAAUCAGAAAGCCACGGCUAACUACGUG